RNAcentral lists this long non-coding RNA (615 nucleotides) under Drosophila guanche. Lineage: Eukaryota; Metazoa; Arthropoda; Insecta; Diptera; Drosophilidae. The record is from RNAcentral.
GGCGAGUUUACAACUCUGAAUAAAAUAAAAAAUCAAAAUUCUGAAAAAGCUCUUUUUGGCAUUAUUUUUCUAGAUAUUAAGCAGAAAGUGUAUUUUAUAAAAAAUGUACUUAAACAAAAACAAACAAAAAAAAGCAAAGCUGUGAGAAAAAUUCUCGUUUUUCUUUGGUAUAAUUUUUUGAAAAUGAAUAAUUAUUUAUAGAUGCUCCUCGAGUUUGUCUUGCGUACUGUUUCCGGAACACCCCAUUAACCCCCCGAAAUCUUUCCAUAUAAAACGAGGUUCGUUUGUAGGAAAUUAUUUGAAUCUUGUUCGAGUAAUACUCUCCUAUCCUACAGAUCAUAUUUAUGCAUACUGUCGUACAACUCUGUGUACUCCUCUCUCACCAAAUCGUAUACAUCAGCAUACACUUUGCACCUACAAGUCAACAAGAAAAGGUUUGUUUUCAAAGCAAAUAAUAUUUACCUACUGUUGUGAGUAAUAAGAUCCCUACAUCUAUGUACCUAUCCAACAGAGUCAAACCUUUGGUCAGAGUUUCGAUCAUCCUAUCUCGCCUAGAUUUAUUCAUAUAAAAAAAUAUUUGAAAGCCUUGGAGUUUAUAUUUUGAUAUUAAUUAAA